GGACUACCAGGGUAUCUAAUCCUGUUUGCUCCCCACGCUUUCGCGUCUCAGUGUCAGUACCGUCCCAGCGAGCUGCCUUCGCCAUCGGUGUUCUUCCUGAUAUCUGCGCAUUUCACCGCUACACCAGGAGUUCCACUCGCCCCUUCCGGACUCUAGCCCGACAGUAUCCACCGGCAUUCCAGGGUUGAGCCCUGGGCUUUCACAGCGGACUGAUCGGGCCACCUACACGCUCUUUACGCCCAAUGAUUCCGGACAACGCUUGCACCCUACGUAUUACCGCGGCUGCUGGCAC
Molecule: ribosomal RNA, 292 nt
Filed under: uncultured bacterium
Lineage: Bacteria
Description: partial 16S ribosomal RNA
Source: RNAcentral